Molecule: ribosomal RNA, 253 nt
Filed under: uncultured bacterium
Lineage: Bacteria
Description: partial 16S ribosomal RNA
Rfam family: Bacterial small subunit ribosomal RNA
Source: RNAcentral
UACGUAGGGUGCAAGCGUUGUCCGGAAUUAUUGGGCGUAAAGAGCUCGUAGGCGGUUUGUUGCGUCGGCUGUAAAAUCCCGAGGCUCAACCUCGGGUCUGCAGUCGAUACGAGCAAACUAGAGUGUUGCAGGGGAGACUGGAAUUCCUGGUGUAGCGGUGAAAUGCGCAGAUAUCAGGAGGAACACCGGUGGCGAAGGCGGUCUGCUGGGGUCGAACUGACGCUGAGGCGCGACAGCGUGGGGAGCAAACAGG